Molecule: ribosomal RNA, 476 nt
Filed under: Chromobacterium violaceum
Lineage: Bacteria; Pseudomonadati; Pseudomonadota; Betaproteobacteria; Neisseriales; Chromobacteriaceae
Description: bacterial SSU rRNA
Rfam family: Bacterial small subunit ribosomal RNA
Source: RNAcentral
GCAAGGUUAAAACUCAAAGGAAUUGACGGGGACCCGCACAAGCGGUGGAUGAUGUGGAUUAAUUCGAUGCAACGCGAAAAACCUUACCUGGUCUUGACAUGUAACGAACGCCGCAGAGAUGUGGUGGUGCCCGAAAGGGAGCGUUAACACAGGUGCUGCAUGGCUGUCGUCAGCUCGUGUCGUGAGAUGUUGGGUUAAGUCCCGCAACGAGCGCAACCCUUGCCAUUAGUUGCCAUCAUUAAGUUGGGCACUCUAAUGGGACUGCCGGUGACAAACCGGAGGAAGGUGGGGAUGACGUCAAGUCCUCAUGGCCCUUAUGACCAGGGCUUCACACGUCAUACAAUGGUCGGUACAGAGGGUCGCGAAGCCGCGAGGUGGAGCCAAUCUCAUAAAACCGAUCGUAGUCCGGAUCGCACUCUGCAACUCGAGUGCGUGAAGUCGGAAUCGCUAGUAAUCGCAGAUCAGCAUGCUGCGGU